Molecule: long non-coding RNA, 1770 nt
Filed under: Chlamydomonas reinhardtii
Lineage: Eukaryota; Viridiplantae; Chlorophyta; Chlorophyceae; Chlamydomonadales; Chlamydomonadaceae
Description: long non-coding RNA (CREI_LNC001056)
Source: RNAcentral
UGUGCGUAUCAAGGGUGCUCGGUUCUUGUCUCCUCAAAGUUACAGAGGCGGCUCUGUCUGUGCACUUCGUGCUAUUCACGAGUAUUGUAAAUGGUCGUUGUCUCUGUAAUCACUAACCAGCAAGUAGUACCGGAUAGUUCAAGACAAGACGGCUUGUCUUGAGCUACCGGGGCGGAUAAACCUGUCUCCGCCUCAUUCCGCCCGCCUCCGCGCGUCAGACUGGCGGAUAACGCAACUUCCUCACACCGCAUAACCUAACGGCACAAACCCAGCUCACUCAAACGCACAAGAUCUUACGGACAGUUAUGGCCAAACAGAGCAUUGCUAUGGUAGUCGGCACACGGGAGUUAUGCCUGCUUAGUCACGUGCUGCCCCAUAAUUCGACAGCCGCACUGAUUCUGACCCCGGGUUUCACAGCUUUCCCGGCACGGUCCCACGCCAUGUCCGGUCCCACGCCCUGGCGUGACACCUUGUCACUCUGCGGCCCGGAGCUGGCUGUGUGAAAACUGGCGAACGGUGGUGACGGCUAUGCUGAGGGCUGCAGGGCUUAUCGCCGCCCUACCGCCGCCAUCCUGAUGAGGAAUCGUGAUGGUGAAGCCGUACUUCCGGGCAUACGAUCAUGUUACACACAAGGGGAGGUGUGUACACCUCCCCUGGUACGCACACUGUCACACACGGCAGGCUGCUCCUUUACCGGCACCGAGCCGCGUGGCUGAUCGCCAUCCCAUACAGUCGGUUCUUGGCAACCGCCUCGGCACUGCACACGAAGAAUGGUCAACUUCCGCAAAUCAUUCCUGGUCGUGCGCACUCUCCGCCAACCCUCUCACUCCGCAGUGCCAGCCACGCCCUGCCAUUUGUCCUGGUCUGGCGGCAAUGUCGCUCCCAACUGAGUCAAGGCGGCCAAGGAGCGCUUCAGCGCAGCCCUGCAGCUGGGCACGGACGUGCAGGCAGAGGGGCGCUGCGCCAAUGGUGAGGACAUACUUGCAUCAAAGCACGCUAGAUUACUUGGAACACCUCCGACCCCAGGCAAUGGCGACUGGAGGCGCCCGUACCUGAAGGGCGCCUCCUGCCGCUCCUGCUACCUGAACGAUUCGCAUUACCCCGCCACCGGGCUGCGUUCCAGGUGAGUUUAUGUUGUGGGUUUCGCGUUGUCGCGAAUGGCAGCCUAGUCGCGCGCGAGCUGCUACAAGUCAGCUCCACGCCAGUGUAACCAUUUGGUGCGCCUGCUGCGGAGCCGCGUGGGGCGCGCGCGGGUGUUCUCGUCUCGGAAAAUAACAAGUAACCGCAAUUGCAGCUAACUCUAAUUUUUGUCUUGCUGCGUUUCAGGCGGCAGUGGCGACGGCGGGGGAACACUUGUCUUGCUGCUUGCUAGCCUGGAGCACUCGACGGCGUCUUGCAUCUGCAUUCACAUUUCUCUGCCUAGACUAACGUGCUUGAAAAAAUGCAACACGUACAAGCCUAGCACCCGUCACGCUGUGGGGUUUGUGCGGGACGCUGCCGCCCCUUGUAAGCGGUAACACGCGGCACACAACGUAUAACCCCUGAGGGGAUAUCGUAUAGCACCGCGCUGUGCUUAUGAGUGGCCACUCAGUACGACAUGGUCAAGCUGAGUACUGUGUACAAUGAAGUGGUGGCCGCAAAGGCCAGAUGUCUGUCAAUGGAGUGCGGACACACGGAGCGGCGCCAGUGCGGGGAGACACGCCGAGGCGGCCACUGCGCCGUGUCUGCCGCCUACAACCUACCUGAGUAACCUGAUCCAUUGUUACGACA